RNAcentral lists this ribosomal RNA (704 nucleotides) under uncultured bacterium. RNAcentral's name for it is "bacterial SSU rRNA". It matches the Rfam family "Bacterial small subunit ribosomal RNA", at positions 8 to 731 of the family's 1533-position model. The record is from RNAcentral.
AGAGUUUGAUCAUGGCUCAGGAUAAACGCUGGCGGCGUGCCUAAUGCAUGCAAGUCGAACGGGAUCCCUUUCGGGGGACGACCGUGGCGGACGGGUGAGGAGCACGUAGCUAACCUGCCCUGGUGUGGGGGAUAUCCUUCGGAAACGGAGUGUAAUACCGCAUGUGCUUGAUUGGGGGGACCCGGUCAAGGAAAGCCGAGAGGCGUACCAGGAGGGGGCUGCGUCCGAUUAGCUAGUUGGUGUGGUAAUGGCGCACCAAGGCGAUGAUCGGUCGCUGGUCUGAGAGGACGAUCAGCCACACGGGGACUGAGACACGGCCCCGACUCCUACGGGAGGCAGCAGCAAGGAAUUUUCCACAAUGGGCGCAAGCCUGAUGGAGCAACGCCGCGUGCGGGAUGACGCCCUUCGGGGUGUAAACCGCUUUUCGAGGGGACGAAGGCAAUGACGGUACCCUCGGAAUAAGGAUCGGCUAACUACGUGCCAGCAGCCGCGGUAAGACGUAGGAUCCGAGCGUUGUCCGGAGUUACUGGGCGUAAAGCGCGCGCAGGCGGAUACGCGCAUCGGCGGUGAAAGCCCCCCGCUCAACGGGGGAGGGUCCGUCGAGAUGGCGUGUCUGGAGGCAGGGAGAGGCCAGUGGAAUUCCGGGUGUAGUGGUGAAAUGCGUAGAGAUCCGGAGGAACACCAGUGGCGAAGGCGGCUGGCUG